UAAGUAAGAAGCAAUUAUGCAUUUAAUUUCGACUUAAAAGACAGAGUAUUUAACUCCUUACUUAUU
This 66-nucleotide transfer RNA is filed under the name Maruca vitrata. RNAcentral's name for it is "tRNA-Arg". Lineage: Eukaryota; Metazoa; Arthropoda; Insecta; Lepidoptera; Crambidae. The record is from RNAcentral.